GACGAACGCUGGCGGCGUGCCUAAUACAUGCGAGUAGAACGCUGAAGGAGGAGCUUGCUUCUCUGGAUGAGUUGCGAACGGGUGAGUAACGCGUAGGUAACCUGCCUGGUAGCGGGGGAUAACUAUUGGAAACGAUAGCUAAUACCGCAUAAGAGUAGAUGUUGCAUGACAUUUGCUUAAAAGGUGCAAUUGCAUCACUACCAGAUGGACCUGCGUUGUAUUAGCUAGUUGGUGAGGUAACGGCUCACCAAGGCAACGAUACAUAGCCGACCUGAGAGGGGGAUCGGCCACCAUGGGACUGGGACAAGGCCCAGACUCCUACGGGAGGCAGCAGGAGGGAAUCUUCGGCAAUGGACGGAAGUCUGAACGAGCAACGCCGCGUGAGUGAAGAAGGUUUUCGGAUCGUAAAGCUCUGUUGUAAGAGAAGAACGAGUGUGAGAGUGGAAAGUUCACACUGUGACGGUAUCUUAACAGAAAGGGACGGCUAACUACGUG
This 495-nucleotide ribosomal RNA is filed under the name uncultured bacterium. RNAcentral's name for it is "partial 16S ribosomal RNA". It matches the Rfam family "Bacterial small subunit ribosomal RNA", at positions 28 to 507 of the family's 1533-position model. The record is from RNAcentral.